GUUACGUUGACAACACUGUUCUCGGCCAUUUUGUCAGUUGUAGAAAGUUGACGCGUGUAUUUUACAGAAAGCGUGGAAAAGACUAAUAACUACCUAAAAAUAAGGUUAAAAGAUGAAUGCCGCAGAGAGAAAGAGGAAAUCUCGAGAGAAGAUGAAGAAGGACAAGGAUAAAUGGAACUUAGUCCAAGAAAAACAAAAAGAGUGGGAUAGAAAACGGAGAGAAAAAAAUAGACGUGAAUGUGACGAAAAUGAUAAAAAGGGAGAAUCUUU
This is a long non-coding RNA of Melitaea cinxia (Glanville fritillary), 270 nucleotides long. RefSeq lists it as uncharacterized. Lineage: Eukaryota; Metazoa; Arthropoda; Insecta; Lepidoptera; Nymphalidae. The transcript has 2 exons. The record is from RefSeq and is a predicted model, not a curated record.